RNAcentral lists this long non-coding RNA (43432 nucleotides) under Ananas comosus (pineapple). RNAcentral's name for it is "long non-coding RNA (ACOM_LNC006600)". The record is from RNAcentral. Lineage: Eukaryota; Viridiplantae; Streptophyta; Magnoliopsida; Poales; Bromeliaceae.
GAUGGUAAAAUUAAGAUAUUGAAAGGUUGGACAAUCGACUGAAAAUUAUCUACAAUUCAUAAUAAUUAAAUUACGUAUCAUUUUUAAAAAAAAUUAAUUUAAUAUAAAAUUAUCUAAAAAUAGUCAUAUUGUGCAUAAUAAUUGAAAAGGUAAUCAUAUAAUAAAGCUAGGAGCUUGACAUUACUCGAACUCAGAUUUUUUUUUUUUUGAGAGAUAGAUAGCACGCUACCCUCUUCGUUUAUUUCAUUUAGAAAUAAACUUAGCUGAAAAUGUAAAUCCACUAGAAUUCGAACUUGGGUCUCGAGUACUAACCACCAAGCUCUUUGUCAUUUGCUCUAGGGACGGCCAGUGAUAUUACGUAAAACAACCAUUAUAGUCUAAAAGCCUUAACUAUUAGAAAAUAGUAUUUAUAUAUCACAAUUACAUUCUCCUAAAAAUAUCUCUGUUAUCGCUAAUAUGUUAGCUGGUAUGUAUUGUACGAACUAAUUUAUUAUGUUUUUCAUCAGAGUAGCCUAUAUUGAAGUAGCACGCCACAAGCAAUUUGAAACGUGUACACGCAUAAAAUAGGGUCAUGUUUUUUAUGCGUAAUUUAGUAACACAGGGUAAUCAAAAGAUGUUAAAAAAGAAAUUACAUAACAGUGAAGUUGGAAUUAUCUUAAACACAAGUAUCAAUUAAAACAACUCAAAUGUUAAUACUUACAUAUAAAUACACACACACAUAUAUAUAUAUAUAUAUAUAUAUAUAUAUAUAUAUAUUCCUUAGCACUCCCAAACAGACGCCAAAGGCAAAAGGGGACAAAAAAGUGAAGCCCUUUUUUUGUCUUCGACCCCCACAAGAGCCAAAGAGUGCUCUCCCUUUCAAUCCCCCACCCCCACCUCCUUUGCUGUUACACUGACCCUCCUCUCCUGCAGCUCUGCUCUCCCCCAGAGCCUUUCCUGGAGAGUAAAAUAGCCUAAACUGAAUAAACUCUUUCUUUAAGAGUGGGUGCAGAGAGAGAGAGAGAGAGAGAGAGAGAGAGAGAGAUCAGAGAUCAGAGAUCAGAGAGAGAGAGAGAAGUUUAAUUUGGUUGCAUAUCUUAAUUAGCACAUCUUGAAGAGGGAGUGACUGACUGAGAGAACUCCUGAUCUUAUUACUCUCCCUUGUAUAUUCAGGUGAGCUCUCUCUUUUUGGAGUCUUAUUAUAUAUGGGUGUUGGAUGAGCACCCACCCAGUUGGAGUUUUUGGGCUUAUGAUUAUUAUUGUUGCGAUCUCCACAAUCAAAUUAAAACCCAUUGAUUCGACCACAUACGCAUGUACCCUGUUCUCCCGUUUUCUUUCUCCUGUCGUUUUUGAGAAGAUUGGUAGAAAAUCCCGUCUCCUGUUCUCUCCUGUUCUAAAAGCCCAAAAACUUGGGCUCUUUUAAAGAACAAAAGAAAAAAAUUUGGGGUUCAAUGUCUCCGAAACGCAUGAACUUGGUAAUGUUCAUGCGCUCGUCCCCGCUGUCGAACUCUUUUGUAGAACUGUUUCUUCCUUCUACUUAUAGCCUUCUAUAAAUAACUCUUCUUCUUCUUCUUCUUCUUCCGAAUCAUCUCAAGGGCCCAUUAAUCUCUCCUAAAAGCACAAACUUGGUAGUUGAUGAUGAUGAUGAUCAUCAUAGGGUAAUAAAAUACCCAAAAUUAGCAGUUCCUUUAAUUAGCAGUUCGAUCCCCGAUCGAAUCUCCGCCGCUGCGGCGGCGGCGUCGGCGGCGUUAUGGUUCAGGACGAUGGGUCGUCGUCGUCCUCGGCGACGUCGUCCUCGCCGCUCCAGAGCUUCUCCCAGAUGACGCUGUCGCCCACGGCCGCCGGGGCCGGGGCCGGGGCGUGGGUCGGGGAGCUGCGGUCGGAGGAGCGGGGGCUGUACCUGAUCCACCUGCUGCUGAACUGCGCCCACGAGGUGGCGGCGGGCGCCCUGGAGCGCGCGUCGGCGCUCCUCGACCACGUCUCCGCCCUCGCCCACCCCUCCGGCGACCCCAUGCAGCGCCUCGCCACCUCCUUCGCCGACGCCCUCGCCCGCCGCGCCCUCCUCCGCUCCUUCCCGGGCCUCCUCCGCUCCCUCUCCCCCUCCGCCCCCCCUCCCCCCGCAUCGUCGUCGUCGUCGUCGUCCUCGUGGCCGUCAUCGACCCCGGCGCUCCGCCACUUCUUCAGGCUCUGCCCCUUCCUCCCCCUCGCCGCCGCCCUCUCCAACCACGCCGUGGCGGCGGCCAUGGAGUCGGAGCGCGUGGUCCACGUCGUCGACCUCCGCGCCCCCUCCGACCCCGCCCCCGCCGGCGACCUCCUACCCUCCUGGCGUCCCGGCCCGGCGGGCCCCCGCACCUCCGGCUGACCGCCAUCCACCCCGACCCCGACGCCCUCGCCCUCCUCGCCUCGUCCCUCUCCAAGGAGGCCGAGCUCCUGGACGUCCCCUUCCAAUUCCACCCCCUCCUCUGCCCCGACCUCCGGCGCCUCGACCUGGAGUCCCUCAAGAUCAAAUCCGGCGAGGCCCUGGCCGUGACCUCGACCCUGGCCCUCCACUCCCUCCUCUCCUCCUCCGAGUCCCUCUCCUCCUUCCUCUACUCCCUCCAGCGCCUCCGCCCCAAGGUCCUCGUCCUCGCCGAGCAGGAGGCCGACCACAACGGCCCCACCCUCGUGGCGCGCUUCGUCGAGUCGCUCAACUUCUACGCCGCGCUCUUCGACUGCCUGGAGUCGGCCGCCCCCCGCCACUCCCCCGAGCGCGCCGCCGUGGAGCGCCUGCUGCUGGGCGAGGAGAUCCGCAACAUCAUCGUCUGCGACGGCCCCGACCGCACGGAGCGCCACGAGAAGUUCGACCGCUGGGCCCGCCGCCUCCACGCCGCCGGCUUCUCCCCCCUCGCCCCCUCCUUCCCCGCCCGCCGCCUCCUCCACGACUUCCGCUGCCACGGCUGCAAGCUGCGCCACGACGACGCCUGCCUCUUCAUCUGCUGGCAGGACCGCCCCCUCUUCUCCGUCUCCGCCUGGACUUGCCGCCGCUUAAUCGAUUGACUACUUGACUACUACUCAAUCACUACUCAUCUCCUCUCUAUCUAUCUAUCUAUCUUUCUAUCUAUCUUCUUCUUCCAAACAAGAAAGAUUAGAGAUAGGUAGUAGUAGGUCCUGCAUGUGUAGUUCUUCUUUUAAUAUAUUUUUUAACCUUAACUUACUUAGGCUAGCUAGCUUUUAUUAAUUUGCUGGUCUCUGUUCUUUUUUCUUUUUUUCUUUGUUUCUUUUUUCUUUUUUUUUUGGCUAGGCAAUGCUGUGUAUAUAUCCUCUUGCUCCACCUCUACUAAUGCAGCGAUGCAAUGUGCUCUUGCAAAAAGAGACCUCUCUCUGUAUGUGUGUGUGGUUUUAACCCUUGUUAAUAUGUUAGCCAGUGAUCCAUCUCUUUCCUUUGCAGACCUCAUUCCACUGCAGAGAAUUUGAGCAAAAAGAAUGAAAACUUGCAAGCAUAGAAAUUAGCAAGAGAUUUUUUUUUUUUUUUUUUUUUUUGGGCCUUCGUAUCAAUCAAUCAUGGUUCAUCUUCUAUGAGGGAAACUGACACUUCAUUACUGCAUUUGUCUCAACGGGACUAAAAAUAAAAAACACUUGUUGUGAUGUGUCAUAGCCUUUUCUCUUCUAGCAUUAUUGCUGUGCUGGAUCAUAAUAGUGCCCAUUUUUGGUGGCAUCUUGUGUAUGGAAAGAUUUGAAUACAACAAAUUUUCCUUUCCGCUCAUGGCUGCUUGUUUUUUUUGUCCUGGCCUGUUAGGUUUCCUGUCAUCUCAUCUUCACGCUCGCAUACACCAUGUCCUUAUUUCUAGUUUCAUGAGUGUUCUUCUACUUCGUGUUGUUCCUAUCUGUUUUUUGUUCGCUCUGAACAUGACAGUUGUUGUCUUUUGCAUUAAGCUAUUUGUGUUAAGAAUAUUGAACGCAUAAUAAUAAUAUUAAAUUCCUGAUUUGUAUAUAACCCACCAAAUUAGAGAUAGAGAUUCCACCUCUCUCGAAUUGUAACUGGCCCUAGUUACUUGAAACAGUAGUUUCCUAUUUUAUCUGCAAUUUUGUGAGUGAGAUAGUCUUUCGGUUGGACUUUAAAUUCUCACUAAAUUGUAGAAAUUUUUUUUCUAAAUACUUUUUUUUUUUUAAUUUUUUAAAAAAUUAUAUUUUAUUCUCUUAAUAUUUCAAAUUGUUGCGUUUAACCCUUCUCAGCUAGAGUUUCAUUCCUAUCCCGUUUAUUUAUUUUUUAUAUUUUAUAUUGAAAAUACCUUUAAAAAAAUAAAAAUAUAUUGAAAAAUAUUUCAAUAGAAAAUUUUUUUAAUCUGAAUAAAAGAUAUCAUAAUGUGACUGUAUUCGAAUACACAAAUAAAGUUUUAGAGAGUGCAAAACUAUUUGAAAUUUCUCUUUUAGGUUUGGGAGUUGUUAUUUUUUAAUUAUUAUUUUUUAAUAUAGUUUUGUAAAAACUUACAUUUUAUAAAAUUCUACACUGAUGUAAUUAAGUUUUAUUUUUUAAUAAAAUGCCUACAGGCUUUAACCUAAAAAAAUAAAUAAAUAAAUAAAUAAAUAACUAUUCGAAUAUUGUAAAAAAUCGGAUGCGGAUAACUAAAAAUUUCGAAAUUUGUCAGUAAUCGGAUCCUCUCUUUCUCUCCUAAAACCGAACCCGUACCCGCUCCGCUCCCUCACCCCGACGAAACCGUAAACCCCGCACGUUCUCUCAUCUCCCUCCGCAUCUCCCAUUCUCCGCUCAUCUCUCCUCUCUCCAAACCCUAAACUCUCUCUCUCUCUCUCGAUCUCUCGAUCUCUCGACCCCGCUCUCUCGCGAGGACGACGACGAGGAGUCGGUGGCGAUAUCUAGGGUUAGCUCCCCUUAUCGAUACCUCUCUAGUGAUUAAGGAAUCAAAUUAAUGUUUAUGGAAGCUUGGUUUUUUGGACUAAAUGUAUGCUUUAAUGUUGCAAGAAUUUAUAGGUUUCCUUUGCUGAUGCUUUACUUACUGAUCGAACGAUUGUGCAUUUCUCCAUAGACAAGAACCAAAGUGGGCGUAGAAAUUGAUAAAUUAAGUUGUGUAAAUGUUUUCAGCAUCAGAUUCAUCAAUUCCAACUGCUGUACGUGUGUCCUAUGAGCAACAUUUCUUGUGUUUUGUUCUUUCUCACCAACUUGCUUAGUUUCUGAACUUUCGCAGCUUCGUGCACCGGUACGUGAAUCAGGACCAAAUAAGAUUAUCAACAACUGUCUAACAGCAAUUCUGACGCAGCUUGUCAACAAUAAACUUCGAUUAUCGAGCAAUUUUAGUUACUUUCAGCUGUUUCGACAUAAGUAAUUAUGUCAGUGGACUUUUCUCUGUUGUUAACCCAAUCAUGUAGUUCUAAUUAACCAUACAAAAAGGUGUCUGGAACUAGAAUAACCUGAAAGUUGAAUCCGCCUGUCAUUCCGUCAAUGUUGAGCACCUGCGUCCAAAUCACCUUCUGUGAUGCAAUAUCUUUCGCACGAAAUUUCUAAUCUUUUUAUGGAAAUAUCAAAAUCUCACCUCUCCUGGAAAGAAGAGAUUUGGUUGCUUCUGACUUUUCCAUGGGGUUAAGUGAAAUCUUCAUAAACAAGGGAAUAGAAUUAGGGAAUUGGGUUAGAGUAUGAAAUAAUGGAGGAGUUGAUCGUUUGUAACCUAAUGAUGCUAAAGUUUCUUUUGUUUUUGUUGUAAGUUGUAACCUAAAUUGCCUGGUAGGCCAUUUCUUUGUAUUAGUUUUGCUAAUGCGGCAUGUAGUUUCUUGCUGACAUUUGAGUUUAACUUUGUAGGUCUUUCAAUGGCAGAAGGUACGUCUGCUAAUCAUGAGGACCUCCGCAAUCUAAUGACGUCCUUAGCGGAAUUUAACAUGGAGACGGCAUCAUUCACCGAACAUAAUCAAAGGGAGCGACAUGGUAUGAAUAUAUGCCCCUUCCAUUACAUAUUGAAUUUAGACAUCUCUAAUCUUCUCUUUGAAAAGUUUUGCGUUUUGCAUAUGCUACUUUACCGGUAUUGCAUGUGGAUUAAUUCUGUUCUUAAAUUUAGCUAGACAUUUUUAAAUCUAGGUGUCUCAAGUGUUUGCUUAUUUGCAAACUUAUAACUGCACAUCAGAUUAUUAUAUAUUGUUUUCAUUUUUUAUGUGACUAUGUUGUUAAAUGUAUUUAUAUGACUUUGAAAAAAAAUCGAUGUCCUCAUUUGUCACUUCGAAAGAAGCUCGCUUAUGUAGCGUGUUGAUUUUUAAGGUACUCAGAUAUUCUAUGAUGAAGAUCUAGUCUCUCUUUGCGGUUUGCAUGUGCUGACCAUGAAUUGUGGAAUUGGAGUUUGAGAUGGUUGUAGUAGAGCGUACAAUGUGGUUUAGCAAAGGUAAUAACUAUGUCAAUUAAUACAUUGUAUGUUAUGAUUUCAGAUAACGGUUCUGAUGAUUGCUUCGGUGAAGAUGAAAUAUGGGGAGAUGCUUCAGAUGACGACGUGAAUCAUGGCACUGCUUUAAGCAGAGAAUGGGAAUGGAGGCACAACCGAUUUCAUACUGUAUCCUUGACAGAUGUUCUAUUCACAUUUACUCCCUAUAUUUAUGUUGUUCUUUGAAUUUUUGUGCUAGACAAAUCGGACUUAACAAAAGAUUAGAUGGGUUACCGGGAUGGUAUAACUGAAGGAAAGCAAGCUUCUGCACAAGAGGGUUUCAAUAUUGGCUUUAAACAGUCCGUGCUUGUUGGUUACAAAUGGGGCCUUGUUAGAGGCAUUACCAGGUAAAUUGGUAAUUCACUUUGUCAUACACUUUUUCCCUUUAAUUUUUAAUCUCUCUAACAUUUUCUUGAUUAUUGUGUAUUCACAGUGCAAUAGCUAGCCUUCCUGAAAACUUGAGAGAGAAAUUAGUGCCCAAGUCUGAGAUCCGGAAAGGAUUUGAGAACUUGCACACUUCUGUGCAGACGAUUUCAACCACUGAUGCACUCAAGAUGUAUCAUAAAAGCAUUGCUGCGAGUGAAGCAGGGCAGUCCUCUGAUCAUUCAGAGCAGAAGCUCCAAGACGAAGAUUCCAAUGCCAACAAAUUGGAGACUCUAUCUAAUGAUCUCAUUCUCCUCCUACACGAAACUCCCGAGAUAAAAAUCACCGAAGAAGAAUUAAAGACGCGAGAUAAGUAAAUAACCUCCUCGUAAAGGAAGUUGGUGGCGUCGUGUAUGUUGUACAAGAUAUACGUGUAUUUUAGCACCAAAAUGUGCCUUCCAAUACUGAAGCUGCAGAUCAGUUCAGAGUAAACGCGGCACUAUCAUUUUACUUUUUUUUCUUUUGUAGGGAAAUUAGUUGUGAGUCAACUUGUCCGGAUUAACGUUAAUGUAGAAAUCCAUCUACCUCAUCUUUUGCUAUUAUGUGUUUAGUGUAAUUCUUUUUCAUGCUUAAUUAUGAUUAACCAGAGUUAAAGGAGCAAAGAAGAAUCAUUAUGUUGAUAAUUGAUGACUGUAAGUCUGUAACAUGAAAUUCCUUUAUUUUCUCUCAUGCUCGAGUUGGUAUCACGUUUCCGACAAGAGGGUAAUUUUUUAAUAUAAAUCUUUCAAAAUAGUUCUUCUCCCCAGCAAAUGCAAAAUAGAUGGAAAUAUGUAUAGCUAACUCUUUUGAGUUAUUUUAACUGAAAUCUCUGGCUUGUGAUACUGCUGCUGUUUUUCUCCAUUUUUAAAAUUCAUGUGAGGUUCAGAUCCUCUUGAACCCUCUGAUAAGCAUUAAAAAAAAAAGAUGGAUGAGAACUCAUCCAAAUCAAUUGAUAAUUAAUUUUCAAAGAUUACACAUAUCAGGGGGUAUAAUCUGUGCAAUUAUGCAUAUAGCCUGUGCAGAAACUGUAUUAACUGCAAGAAGAAAUGUUUAAACACUACUGUUAUAAAUAUCAGGGCAUUUAUUUGAUACAUUACUAAUCAUAUAACAAACCCCGGUAGUCAGGUCAGUCAUUAAACAUGGAUUAUAUAUUUACAUUUCAUAAUAACUUUGUAGAUCCUUUGCUUCUUACACCCCCACAGUGCAAACUAUAUGAACAACAAAUCAGUUUGUCACCAUAGAUCAUUCACUUCCUGGUCCCUGGCUCUAAUAUUGCAGCGACCCCGCAAGUUAUUUGUUAGUUUCAACCAUACUAUAACACAACAACAAAAGAGGAAAAGAGAAGAGAAAAAUUAGAACAUGAAACCUUACAGGAGAACUAGCAAUUAAGAUAGCUUACUUUUUCGGGGUAAAUGUUAUUACAGUUGUUCAAACCAUCAGCUGCAAGCUUGGAUAGGCCUGAAUCUUGCUGUCUCAUUCUGCACGGAUUUUUCACACACAGGUAUCGGUAUAACGGUCUCGAAGGCUUCUACAAGCAGUUCGACUUUCUUUUUCCGAGCAGGAGCUAACUUGUUUACUGCUUUCCGAAGCGCAUAAUCUAUCAUCCAUUCCUCCGCGUUCUUCCUUUCGUCCAUCAUCUGAUGCCUGAGAUCGACCUUCUCUGCAUCUGGGUCCGGUUCUAAUGGAAGAAACCGUGGGGACCGAGGAUUAAAUUCUCUUAUAUAUUCCGAUUCCUGGGUUGUUCGCCUUCUUGCUAUGAUGUAUCUAUUCUUAGAGAACUCCAUGGUAGAAUCCAUGUAUUCGUCUUCUCCGAGGCUCAUCGCGCUGAAUGCAACACAAAUCUCGUCAACUUCGCAUUCUUCUUUAUCUUGAAAUUGCAAUGUCUCAUUUAUGUCAGACUCCGACGAGCCACCACCUUCUUCAGAGGCUUCCUCCUCCUGGUUCCUAAAAGAGAAAUUUUGGGUCUCAGGAGCAAAAUUUGGUUCCUCAGCAGCAUGUUCCGAUUUACUUGUGAUCUGUUUUUCCUCCUUUUCUUCCGGUUCAGCGUCAAUAUCUUCUUCAAUGUUACUACUCGCCUCAAUUCGAUUCGAAACUUGGUUGUCCGAGCUACUAUUUGUUUCAAAAUUAACUUGUUGAUAUGCUUCAUCGCCUUCUGAGAUGGCACUAGAUAUGAUUUCAUGUUCAGGAAAAGAGCUUACUUGUUCAAUUCUCGCUUCCUCCUCAUUGAUCUUCUCUUCAAACGCCAAGCUUGAGAUAUUCUCCUCUUCACCAACUUGGCCACAAGGAAAAUGGGCAGCUUGGUUCUGAAUUUCAACACCUUCGGACUCGAAAGGCUCGUCGAUUGUAGAUAUUUCUUUUCCGCAGUCAGAUAGAGCAUCACUUGUUUCAUGAGAAAUCUCCGCACCGCAUUCAACCAUCCCACACGGAUCUAAAUUGGACUCUGUCUCGAAUAACAAUCCAAUAUUAAGUUCAUCAUUUUGAAAUGAACUUUCUCGUACUCGCGUUGCUCCAUCAUCACUGCUCUCGUAGCAGUCACUUUUGUUAUCAUCGGGAAAGAGGUUUGCGUCCUCCAUAGAAUCCAUAUCAGAGGGUUUACGAUCUGGUAAAUUAGAUUCACACUCAACAUGGUCUUCACUAUGUUUCUCCGACUCCUCUAUUACAUAAUCAUGGGGUUUUUCUCCCUUGCCUUUGCAGUUCUGAUCGCGGCUUACAUAUUCGAGAAACUUCAUCGUCUCAUCCAUUUCUUCGACAGAAGAAUCACUCCAUCGGUCUGCAUCGUCCGCCAAAUCAACAACCGAAUUACUAUUUACCUCUUCUUCUCUGAAGCUUCUUCGAUCAAACUCUUCUUUCUCCAUCGUAUUCGUCUCCAGUUUAGCAUAAAUCUCAACAAAGAAAUCAUCAACUUCCUCUGCAUGCACCAAAGGAGUGAUCUUUAAACCGGAGCCGGAGGGGCUUUCGCUUAAAUUAGCUUGCCCAGUAUCCAUCUCCUCGAAAGAACCCUUCUUUCUGAAUUGGGCAACACCUUUCAAUCUAAAGCUCUUCUGGGUUCUCAUCAGCUUCCUCCUUGAGGCCAAGAAGCACUUCAGAGGGGGCAAACCCUCAUUCCUGUGGCCAUUCAAAGAGCAGUAGGUGUAGGGGCAAACCUUGAUUGCAGAAGUGCCCUGAGCUUCUGUUGCCCCUGGGCUCAGUUCCAGGGCCUUUGGGAACUUGGAAUCCUUGAGAGUUGAAGAGCAUGUUGCCCUGUUCACAUGCAUGCUGGAGCACACAAGGAUCCCUAUGUUCCUCUUCAGUGCAGGCCUUAUUGGCUUCCUCAAACUGGGCUUUUUCUUCAGGCUCUUUGGGGAUUGAUGGGUGCUUACCUUUGGAAGCUCCUUCCUUGCAUCUGAACUUGUUGUGGGCUUCAUGUAGUUGGGCAAAAGAUCCCUCUUUUUAGCAGCAGCAGCAGGAGGAGGAGAGGGGGUCUUCUUAUUGAGCUGGACAUAUCCAGCACCAUCUAUGUCUGAGAUGGUGAUUGAUCUCAACUCCUUCAUCUUCUUCUUUGUGUCUUGUUGAAGGUGGUGAGGAGGAAGGGGCUUCUCAGGAUAGGGGCCCUGCUUCUCCAUGGCUCUGGCCUGAGGGGAGAGCCUUUUGGGUGCUUUUCUUUGCACCAUGGUGGGAUGUGGGAGAGGGGGAAGAAGGAAACCAAGUUGAGGUUAGGGGGAGUUUGGUUUAUAGAAGGAAAAAAAGAUUUGGGUUUUGGCUUUAACUUUUGGUGUUUUCUUAGGAAGGAAGGGAGGGAGUAAAAGAAAGAAAGAAAGAAAGAGUGAGUCUAUAACCUUGUUGUUCUUGUUCUUCUUUGAAAAGGAAACCUCAUAGAGAGAUUCUUUUCCUUUGAAUUUCUAGAGGGUGUUGGUGUUUGUUCAUUGUGGGUGGGCGGCUGAGGUCUUUGCUUUUACUCUUUUUUUCUUUUUCUUUUUUUUAAUAACUAGGAAGGAAGAAAGAGGGUGAUUGGUCUUAGCCAAAAUAUUUGAAUAGUGUAUUGUAUCUUGUACCAGAUAAUAUACAUCAGAAUAUUGUCAAUAAAUCAGUUUUAUCUCGUAUAACAGCUAAUUGAUUAGCUUUGCUUCUAAGAUGAAAAAAACUAUGGUACUUGGUUAUAUUUCAUUCGAUUGCCAUGCGUAUCAUGAAUUGUAUUCAUUAAUAGCAUUUUGAAUUAUAUUUGUUCUUCAUAAAUUAUAAUGUGUCAGUAAAUUUAUAUUACAUUUUAACUGUAUAAAUGAACUAUAUAAAGUCUUUAUGUUACAUGUUAUUCUGGAAGAUUCCUAACACUACUUUUCUAAAAGAUAGAGAAGAAUUAACAACUAAUUAAGGAUUAUGAUAUUGACACCCACCCUAGGAUGGUGGUGGAUAGAGAUAAGCUUAAUUCCUGCACUCAUCCUCUUAGAUGGUGGCUUUGGAUGCUCAAAUUAUUAUUAUCAUUAUUAUUUUAAUUAUUUGAUGUGACAUUUGGAGCUCUCACAAAUUGGCUUCUAGUGCCCAUUGUCUCUUUCUUUUGGGGUACAUUUUUUAAAAGCAUUGACAACAUAAGCUCAGGAUUUUUUUUUAAAAAAAAAAAAGCUUCCAAAAUUGGCUGCAUUUAGUUACUUAGUAAAUGCAGUUUGAUUUCAAAAAUUUGAAAUUCGUCAAUCAUCGUUCUUACUUAUUCGUACAUAAAUCUUAAUAAUUUCAAUGGUUUUAAUUACUAUGUGAGCAGUGGUCGCAUUAGGUUUGCAGAAAAUUUAAUGAGGUGGCAAUUGAUUCGGAGGAGAAAAAAGAAAAACUUGUUCUUGCAAUUAUAAUGAAGUAUAAUAAUGGUUGGUUGGUAUAAAAUGUGGAAAAACUUCAAAAACCUUCCUUGUAGUUUCUUUUUUUUUCACUUUAAUACCCUGUGGUUUAAAAUGUAUCAAGUUAGUACCUUAUGAUUUCUCACUUUAUCACUUCAGUAUCCUUUGCAGGGUACUAAAGUGAUAAAGUGCAAAAUCACAGGAUACUAACUUGAUACACUUUAAACAAUAGGGUACUAAAGUGAUAAAGUGAGAAACCACAGAGUAUUAACUUGAUACACUUUAAAUUAUAGGGUACUAAAAUAAAAAAGUGUGAAACUACAUGGGGGUUUUUGCAAUUUUUCCAUAAAAUAUUUUCCUCGUGCUUGUUGCCUCGCGCGGGUCACGGCCUCGGCAUUUAUUGCGUGCGUGCAUACGAGAAAUUAUUGUAUGUACUCAACAAAAUAAUACAUAGUAUAUAUUGCAACUUAGUUAAAAAUACUACCACUUAAGUUUAAAAUUAUAAAAUUUAACUAUUUAUUUUUAUAUUUUUUUUUUUGAAUUUUGUUGCUUUUUGUGAUCACUUGCAUGUCUAAAAAAAUCUUUAGAAAUUAAUAAGCAAUUAUAAUAUAUAGUGCAUGAGAUGUAAAUAUAUUGGUGCGCGCAAAACGUGCAUCCGUGUGCGCGCACACUCACUCAUGUUGUAUGGGACUCACUACUACGAUGAAAAGAACCCAAUAAAAUAAAAACAGAACGAUCCCCCCGAUUUAUAAAUAUUGGAAACAGGUACGCGAACUAUUAGUUUAUUUGGACUUUAAUCCCCUAAUUGACAUUCUUUCAAUAAUAAUUUUUUUUUUCCCCUAGUACACAUUGAAGAAUUAAAAAUCCAGCCAAAAAUAGUUACAUGUUGCUAAUAAUUUUUGAUACCAUUACCUGGAAUGAUAUUUCAUGACAAUUGUUAAUUAAUAUCUGAAAAUUGUAGUGUUUUGUAAGACGAAAAAUAUAACAAGCUGUUCGGCUCGUUUAUUAUUAAUUUUUUUAAAAAAAAAAAUUGAAUCUCAGAUAUUAAUUAUUAAGUUUUGAGCCAGUUAUGCUAGAUAUGAUCAGUCUAUUUGAAAAAUAUAGUUAAAAAUUAAAAUACUAGAAGCAUCACAUUAAAAUAUUCUGACCUUUUUUUUUUCUUUAUUAACAUAAAUAUUCUUUUUGAACGUGCACGACAAAUAUUCGUGUUCUCAAAAAUUUGCAUUGGAGAAAUGCUUUCGCUUACUAUAUAUGGUUGGUUCAUGCAAAUAUUAUGGUAAACUAUUUUCUCAAAAAAAAAAAUUUAAAGAAAAUAUUAUUUUCAUAGUUUUCAUUUUCAGAUACGAAAAAACAAAAGACUCUUACACAAAAUGUGAAAAAAGAAAUAAUCCGUAAAACUUUUUUCAGCUAAGAAACUAUUUUUUUGAAACUUUUUUACGGAAAAACAAACAUGGAUAAAAGGCACAAUAUUGUGUUUGGUGUAAAUGAUUUUUAAUUAGUUUAUACAGUAUUCGAAAACAGUGAAAUGCGCGAGUUUGUUAACGUGUUAACAAUACAUAAAGGUAAUAUAUACUAAGAAAGCUACAUCAAGUAGUUUUGUUCACAAAUAUCUAUUAAUUGAGAAUGUUUACAAUCAUGCAUACUAAUUUAUCAUUAAAAAUAUAAAAGGAUAGUAUUUUUUUAAGAAAAAGAAAAAGAAUUGUAGCACUAAAUAGUUACGUAGGUAUCUCUUCUUAAUUGUAAUUCUGAGACAACUAUCAAUAGAAAGUAGUGCUCAUUACAUGCAAUACUUAUAGCUUAGUAUAAUCUUAGUGAAGAAUAUAAUUGUUAAAAGCUCAUACAGGAAUAGUUUUAUAUCAGAAAUUUUUUUUUUGAGAGAGACAGUACGCUACUAGCUUCGUUUAUUUCAUUUAGAAAUAAACUUAGCUGAAAAUGUGAAUCAACUAGAAUUCGAACUUGUGACCUCGGAUACCAAUCACCAAGUUUUUUGCCACUUACUUUAGAGACGGUUGGUUAUAUCAGAAAAUUAAUGUGAGUGAAAAUGAUAGACAUAUAUAUUUGCUGGGCACCAAACCCCUAACAAUAUCAUUAAAUGUCUCCGUAAAUGAUUGUGGAGAGGUUUAUUAUUGAUUAUUGGGAAAACUUCAAAAACCCCCUCUGUGGUUUCGUGCAUUCUCACUUAAGUACCAUGUAGUUUACAAUGUAUCAAUUUGUCCUCCUGUGGUUUCGUUUUUAAUUAUCUUUUCAGAAGCUCUUUCGUUAAUAUUUCGUUAAAUUAUAUACAAAAAACUUCAGAUAACCAUCUAUGUUUGUCGAAUAUUCACUUUAGUAUCAUUUAAUUUUAACUUUGUCACUGAUUUAAGAAAAAAAUAAUAAUAAAAUUGAUCACAAAAAGAGAAAAACGAAACCACAGGGGAGCAAAUUGACACGUUUUAAACCACGGGGUACUAAAGUGAGAACGUGCGAAACCACAGCGGGGUUUUGAAGUUUUCCCUGGAUUAUUUUUGCUACAUCUGGGGUACAAAAAGGCAUUUUAAUUUCUAUAUAUAUCAAUGGGGAACAAAUAAAGAGUGAAUCAGUGGGACAGGGAUCCUUGUGCUUUGAAAAAUGAUAUGAUAGCAAACAACGGCUAGUCAAAAUUGGUCACCAGAUAUUUGUCAGAAAAUUUUUGUUUAUAGAACUGCUCAAAAGUUUGAAUUCAAAAUUGAGGGUAGCAACGGUUCAACCCAUAAAUCCUCUUAACGAAAAAAAAAAAAAAAAAGAAAGAAGAAAAAAAAGGGUUUGACCAGCAAAAUGUAAUCCAUCUAUAUAAAAAGAAUCUGGUACGAGCACAUAGAUUUUUUUAUUUCUUUUUUCAAUUGGGAAAGAUUUUGAUUCGCCACUAAUUAUAGAUAAAGAAAUAUAGUUAGAUAAAUUUAUAUCCAAUUAUAAAUUAGGGAUCAAAAUAGAAGUUGGUGAUAAAUUUUGGAGAACGAAAGUGUGAUUACACCAAUGACUAAGACCCCAACACCAAAGUGAUGAUACAUGGAAAUAAUAAUAUUAUUAUGGAUCAAAGGCUUUCAAAAAAAAAAAAAAAAGUAUUUUAAAAUAUCAUUUCAAUAUAAAAAUAUCGUAUUAACUUUCCAUUAGAACCUUUUAUCAUUUUACAUAACACAAUAGAAUUAAUGAGAAAUAUCUUAUUGUUUUUUUUUUAGAGAUAGGUAGCACAAUAUCCGUUUCGUUUAUUUUAUUUAAAAAUAAAUUUAGCUAGAAAUAUGAAUCAACUGGGAUUCGAAUUUGGGUCUCGAAUAUCAACCACCAAACCCUUUGCCACUUGCUCUAGGAACGAUCGGUGAAAUAUCUUAUUGUUAGACAAAAGACUUGUGACAAGUAGUAGUGCCGUAAAUCCGCCUAAUCGGCGAGCCAAAUGCAAUGCAAGGGUUGUGAGACCACAGGACUUCGCGUUGUAUGCGGUGCGAGACCUUCUAAUCCAAAUAUUCUUGCUCACUCGGCGAACCUAUUUAUUAAUUGUAAUAUGAAAAAAAAAAAAAAAAAAAGAGAAAGAAAGAAGUUUGCUGUUGACAAUUUGGAAUAGUCGGCGCCGACCGAUGGGUGAAAAAGAAGCGGGAAUAUUUGGAUGAGUGAGGGAUAUCUCUUUAAAUAUAAUAUAAAUAAAAUAAAAAAUAAUUAUGCAGCAAAAAAAAAAAAAAAAAAAAAAAAAAAAAAACUAUGGGAGUGGGACCCACCAAAGUAAUGGUCGGCGAAAAGUAGCGGAGGAUAAGGGCCUGGUGGGCUCCACCUGGCCGGCCCAAGUGGGCCCAUCACCCCAAAUCCUUUCCUAAUUUCCCACGAGCAAAAGAUCAAAAAGUUUAUUAAGUCCACGCACACGCACGCACACGCACUCCUCUUCCCCUUUCCACGUCCCUUUCCAUCUCUUGCUUUUUUAUCCCUAGCUUGGGGGGUCCAAAUUUUUAAACAAAGGUAAUAUUAAUAAAGGAAAAUUGCACUUUCGGUUCUCAAACUUUGAAGCAAGUGACACUUUGAUUUCAAAGCUUAAUUUACCGUAGUUUUUGUCUCAAACUUUUUAAAGUAUUGUAAUUAAGUUCUAUAAUUUAAUUUAGUUGACUGAAUACUGAUAUUUCGCUAAUACGACAGUGACACAUCAUCUCAGUAAUUAUCAACUCGUCAAUUGCGAUGCUAUCAUAUUAGCAACGUAUUAUUAUUUAACCAACUGAAUUAAAUUGUGAAACUUAAUUGUAAUAAUUUCUAAAAUUUGAGACAAUAGUAGCAGCAAAAUAAAGUUUUAGGACUGCAGCGUCAUGUACAUCAAAGUUUGAGGACCAGAAAUGCAAUUUAGCCUACACAAAAAGCUGUACUCUCAAGGGCCAACCCAAUGGGCUACUUAUUAAGGUCUCUUCCAUGCCGCCGCCCGGCCUGUGUGAUGAACAAUUGGGCCACCAAGCUGGGCCUAACGAGCCCUUAAACCGUAAAAAAGAAAAAAAUAAUAAAAAAAAACCCAAACAAUUCAGCUUUAUGUCCUUAAUUUAUCAUGCCUAAUUUGAUACUAUAGUGGCUAAAAACACUUCUUUUACACUUUUAGAGUGCCCAAAAAGUUCAAAGCAGCACUUGCAGUUAUAUUAGAUGAACAACUCCUCAUGGCAGUUAAAUCUAAUGGAUUUACUAUUGAAUUUAAAAAGUUCCUCAAUAUAACAUAUAGAAAUAAUUUACAAAGAAUUGAGUGGUAUAUUGUGGCCUCUUCUGGUCUUAAUCUAUAAUUGUAAGGAUUUUCUUGCAGCAAUAAAAAGAACAAUAAAUAUUGGAGACACCAGAAAUAUGAGAUAUGGGAAUAUUUGAUUUACUCCACCUUCAUUUUGCUCCUCUUCUGCAGCAGUGUAGUUAUCUUUGUUCUCUAUGAAUGCAUCAAAGUAUGUUUCAUACCCUGUUGUUCGUGGCAGCGGCGAGCUUGUGACUUUCAUCAUCUCCAUUGCCUGAUUAAGAGAGUGAAAAGAAAGGGGAACGAAAAGAGAAGAAAAGAAAAAAAACUGUUAAUACUGUGAAAUGAUUACUCAACUCUUUAAGUUUACGAUCUAUUAUUAAUUUGUACAUAGACUUAUUCAGUAAAAUCACAGGAUUAAUAUAUUAUAGAUGUGUGUCACGGAUGACAAAUGAUGCAUAGUAACUAAUAAAAUUUCUCGCAAGGAGUGCCUUUUCGUAAUGUAAGUUUCAGACACCUGAAAGCUAAACAUGAAUUGCCUGGCCUUCUUGCUCACUUGAACAUUCGGAUGAGACUGGAGCUUCUCAUACAUGACCCUAGCUUCAUUUGGCCUGUCAAUGUAAGAGUGCGACAAAAAACAGAGGGAUAAAAGGGGAUCAGCAGUAACUGCCUUGGCCAAUAGGAAGGAAUAUUAAGUAAAUGUUGCACAGCGAUAGCCAUAAACCCAGUUUCGCUUAUUGGCAAGAGCCGCCUAUGAAUUUAAACCAAGUAACUGGAUAAAUACGAUUGGUGACAUUUAGUUGUGCAAAACCAAUUCAAAUUGUUAGUGCUAUUCAAAUAAGAAUAAUUAAGUGGGGCAAAUGAUGACGGAAGCCAAAAAAAGGGUGAAUUGAUGGCAAAGAGCAAUACCUGCUGAGUGAAUCUUGACAUACAGACCACUGCAAAGCAGCCAUUCCGUGAAGCUCGCUCUACAUUCCAUUUAGUCAAUAUCAGAAUAAAAGAGAAGAGACAAGCAGGACAAGUUGAAUACUUGCAUAGAAAUAAAACAAAAUGUUACACGGCACAUUUCAGGAAUACUAGUUGGAUCUCACAUCCAAAAAGCUUGUACGUACAAGGAGCAGAUACAGUAAGAAUUAAGAUUAAUGAUGUAUCACCUCCAUGAGAGUAUAUAUAUUAAGAAAAGAAGAUACUAGCAUAUGAGAAAAUGCCCUUAUCAUACUAUAAUAAUCAGAAGUGGUGCAAAAAAUAAAAAAAGAUUAUUCCAAUUAUUAUAUUAUGCCUCAAAUCAAUCAAAACAAUGCAAUUUCAAGAAAAAUGAGUCCUUCGGAUAUGCAAAACAAGAGUACCUGAAAGACCAAAUCCUUCAUUACUUUCUCAUAAAAAGGUAGUGCUUCUCUGAGCUUUCCAACACCCAUCAACUUAUCACCUUCCUUCAGAGCCUAUGGGAUGCAGAAAUUUUAAAGCCAUUUGUUUUAAACCAUAUUGUUCAAUUAUAUCUACAAGCAAAAGAUGCCUAAAUUAAGAAAUGCACAGGUACAAUAUCUUACUUUAGAGGAUAAAGAAGCAUAUAGCACGCAACUGUAUAAAUUGAAUCUUCCAUCAUCAAUUGUAUAGCCAAACAAUUUGCAGGUUCUAGAAGCAAGAUUCAAUUCACAAGCUUCAAAAGAAAUUUCUUAGGUUAUCAGAAUUACUGCAAGAGUUAUCUCUGAAGGCUUCACAAUCUUGAAAAUGAGCAAAAGAUGAAAUGACUUUCUCCUAAUUGAUAAAGAUAGCCAGCCCAACAAUAUGGGAUAUCCAUCAUGGACAUACUCAUUUGGUUUAAAGCACCAUAAAGACAAAAACGCCACAGAUGUCACAUCCAAACAGUUUUAUCUAUGAAAGAAGCACUACUUUUACAUUGAUCAUAGCGAAGAUAUGCUAAACCUAUAAUUACAACAAUUAAAUAAACUCUAAUUAAAAUUAUUAACUUGGAUUUUGUCAAAUGUGACCUUGAAUUAGUGGAAGUUCAAUAUCUGACAGUACUAAGCCGCAAAUCCUAAUGAUCUACAAAACUAUCUGAAAACAUAUUUUCUUAUUCAAACUAUCUAAAAUGUUACUCCAUCAGCAACAAGCUUUUCAUUAUAGUAUAUUAACACCAAUCUUUUCUCCAGAAUUGGUGCCAAAUCACAUCAAGCAGCGAAAAGCUAGUGUACAAUCACUGUUCAUAUUUAGAAUUGUGUGAGAACAAAAGAUCUGAUUUAAGGUUACAUAUGCCAAAAAUUUGGCAAACCAUAAGUCGUGUAUGGAUACAUCAAGUAACUACAAAUUAGAAAGCAUUGUAUGUUAUUCACAUAUACCUUUUCACACGCAGCUUUUAUUUUUGGAUCUAUUGUCAAGCCCAUCUUACUUUUAUAAGCAGCAAUAAAUUCUUCUGUACGCUUUUCCUUUUUUGCUCUAUCCUCAGCUGCUUCAAGCACUUGCCCAGGCUGAAUAUUUCUUCCACCACCAUACUAACAACGAAAGGAAAAAGAAAAAAAUAUUAGAACUUUUUAAAUAAAUGAUGCGAAACUAAACUACAACAUGGUAUGUUGAAGGACCAGAAUGGCUGUAUCAUAAUGGUCAUCAUCAUCCAGGCAUAGUCCCAACAAUACAAGCUUUACAAUGUAGCAGAAUCAAAGUUGUGAAAAGCCUCCAAAAGGAUAAAUGCCAAGAGAAAAGUUAUAUAGAUUACUAUUAAUGUUGAGUAAGUACAAAAACAAUAUGUUACAAGUUACAACAGAUAGGCAAGAAUAGAUGCAAUCAAAACCAUUUGUUCUCCCAAAACUUUCCAGCCAACUAGCUAUACAAAAAGUAAGGUGAGCUUGCAACAGUCCAACAAAGAAGCUUUGGUAACCCAAGUAUCAGGGCUGUGCCUUUGAGAAUUUCCAUCCGUGCUAGGGAAUCAUAAUUUAUCCAAAUUUGAGGAUAAGAACUCCUAAAGGCCUAUGACAAAGUUUUGCAAAAGGUUCUGUUAAAAGAGCAUGGCCAUUGAGAAUGCCAUUUACUGAGGCAGUUUUCUGGGUUUUCACUAGUUUGUAUGCAAAUUGCUUGGCUAGCUUAAAUGGAAAUUUUCAUGUCAGAGACAGUAAACAUCUUAUAAUUUUGGCAAUUUACGCAAGCAUCUAAUAAUUUGAAGAGAUAAGUGUUUUGUAAAAAGAUCACACUGAUUAUUUGUGCACAACAUAAGAAGUACACGGGAUGAAACAUACUAGAGUUCUGGUGGGAUAGUAUAUAUUAAAUCAUGCUCUAUAUCUCGCUCUUUAACUUUACCUAUCUUGGAAUACAAUAUCCUAAUAUAAAUCAAAAUUGCAAAUCGAGAUUAACUUACUAUAGAAAUGACAACCUUACAUGCCGGGGAGAGAGAAUUGAUAUAAAGGACUAGAUUAUUGCUGUCCUGUUUCGUGUACAAUACUAACGAAAAGAACUUAGUAAAAUGGAAACAAUCCGACCAAUUAUUAUUUAAAGAAAGAAUCAGAAAGAAGGAAGAUCACUAGGAAAUAAAAAGUUAAAGAAUAGAUUCAACAAAGAAUAUGUUUUGCAUCAUACCGUCUUCGAGAUGUUGCCAGGCCUUGGAAAAACACCCCAGGUAGAAACUUUGGGCUUGUACAAUCCUGUGUUGUCAUCUUUUUCUGAGUCUGUCACUUUUGAUGGUGCAGUGUUUUCAAACUUAGUCGAAUCCCCAACAAUAAUCUCUACUUCACGCACAUCUCCAUCCGUAAAAGGAUCUACGAUGGGAGCCAAGCCAGGCGGCGCACCUCUAUAUCUUUUCUUCUCAGAAAAUUCAAGCCCCAAAAAGUCAAUUUUGGAAAUCUUUGACUCUUCCUUCUUACUAACCUUCUUAUCGACACGACCAUCCGCUGAUAUACUUGAAGUCUGCAGUUCUUGACCUAUAAUAUACAAUUAUUUCCAUAACAGUUGCUGAUGAUGACUUAAUCAAUGAACAAGAACAGACAUUUUAGGGGGGGAAAAACAGACGUAACUUUCUACUUAGUAACUAAAGCAGUCUUAUUCUUUCCGACGAUAAAGAAAAUGACACGAAAACCAUCAUUCAGUAGCACUGCUUUUGAAUACACAAAAUAAUUCUUCUCUUCUUUUGGCAAUGUAGUGGCUUUGCGGAGUGCAAAAAGAUCUAAGUACCGCAUUGCAUUUUAGAAGGUUAAAGUGUGGGCCUGCGUUUUGCAUCAUUUAAGGUUCACUACUUUAGUAAUGAUGCCCUUCAUAUUCACAACUCACAAGCGCCACUAUUUUCUUACAAAUUUAUGCUUAUUAAGAAAAGGAAGUUAAAACCAUGAUAUAGCAAACAUAAUUGGAAGCUCAGAAGAUCUCCCAGAUAUCUCAAUUAAUCAGUAAAAUUGAUCUCCAAAGUAAAGAUUUUUGAACUCCCAUACAUCUCAAUUAAUCAGUCAAUUGAUCUCCGAAGUAUAGAAACAUGAAAAACUCAAAAAUGCACGUGUACGUGAAUUCAAUUCAAAGAGAAACAACCCACAAUGCUCAUCUUCUUUUCUUUUCUUUUUGUUUUUCUUCACUAAGCUUUGUAGAUCCCAAACUGCCAUUCCAAAUGUAUACCACAUAAAUUGGAAACUACCGAUAAAUAUAAAAAAUUUAAGUACGAUAUCUACAAAUCAAACCAAAAACAAAACUACCAUGAAACACCAAAUUCCCAAUCUCAUCAAGAGCUCAAUCAGUAAGAUAAUCUCACAGUGAUCAAAAUGUACCCGAAUUUGUAGUUAAUUUCUCAACAGAAGCAUCUCCACCCCCAUUGGUGGCCCCUUUGCUAGUCUUGUACUCCCUCGCCCUCUCCAUGGCGAGCUUCGCCGUAUCCGGGGCCUCCGCCUCCUUCCCACCACCACCAUCGCCUCCAUUGCUCCGAUUCAGAGCUAGGGUUUGCUCCUGGGUUUGUGCAGCGCUUGAAAUCUUCGCCUUCUUAUAAGCCGCGGCUUUGGCGAACGCGAGCUUCAGCGGGUCAGGAGGGGCUUCCUCGGGCGGGCCUCCUCCUCCGCCGCCCCCCUCCGGCGCCGCCGCGGCGGCGGCGGCGGCGGGGGAGGAGGGUUUGAAGGGUUUGGAGCUUCGCGAAGGGGCGAUUAGGGUUUUGGAGGAGUAGUUGGAGUGGUGUGGAGCGAAGCCCCAUGCGGGGUGUGGCAGGACAAAAGAGGCCAUCCGAUUUUGCAACGCACGGGGACGUAGAGAGAGAUAAUAAUAAGUAAACAUGCAUUCCACACCCUCAAGUGUAUUCGUUAUUGAAAUUAGCCCUUUUUGAAUAUUCUUUUUUUAACUCUUUGAUUGUCACUUUUUAUAAUUUUUAAAUUUAUUUUAAUUGCUCAAAUUUAAAAUUUUUUUUAAAUCUAUCUAUUAGUUGUUCUAUUUGAGCUUCCUAAAUAAAUAACUAAAAUUACAAUGGAAUAGUUGACAAAUUUGAAAAUAAUUUUAUUUUAUUUGAUUAUAAUUGCCAAAUUAUAAAUAAUUAAAAAAUUAAAAGUGAGUCAAAUGGGGACAAUAAUUUUGUGGGAAGCAAUCCUCAACUUGGAAGAGCCGUGGGGCAAUUAUUGAGUGGACCAGAUGCACGCCCGAGUUGCAACUUUUUUUUUUUUUUUUUUUGAGGAUUUAGAUUGUAAGCUUUAGGUUUUAGAUUUUAUUAUUAGGUAUUUAGAGUUUAGGGUUUGUUUAAUCUAUAAAUUUUAAGCUAAAACUCUAAAACUCUAAAUGCUAAAUCCUAAACUAGAAUCCUAAAUCAUAAAACCAUAAUACCUAAACCUUAAAUAUUAGAUGGGCGCCACGUGAUUGCUGUGUCACACGGCUCCUACUAGAGGAGGAAGUCUGAUGUAUUAUACUUUCAGCAUAUCAUUAUAACAGGCCAAUCACAUCACUUUUUUUGAAAAACAAAAUGAUAAAUUUUUUUUUUAUAAUCAUAAUGGAAAAGAUAAAUCAAUCUAAAAGGAAUCAUUUGAUUGAUUAGAAAUACUAUGUCACCAAUAUAACAGAUACAUUCUAUAAUUUUUUUUUUUUGUUUGAGAGUGGCCCCAAAGUAACUAAUUUGGAGCCACCCCCCAUAAAUUUGUCGUCCACUGAGGAAGUCAUUUAGAAUGGUCUUAGCGAGCGGUUUCUGUGCACUUUUUUAAAAAUUUGAAACAGUCUCAGCUUUUCAAUUUUAAGAAUGGAGCAAAUCUAUUUAAUUGGAUUGAAAUUUUAUAAAAACUAUUAUUUACUUCAUCAAACACUAACUUUAAUUAUGCCAUAGCAAAUGAAAUAAGACUUUGUAAUAACUAAUAAAAUCAUGAAAGUACACAUUUCUGAAUAUAGCUUCUUAUAAUAAUCCAUAUAAAAUUAUGAGAACCAAAUGCGCAAUAUUGUUCCACUUUCACCAACAAUAUUCAAGUUGUUGGUUAUUUUCUUAUGAAAAAAAGGGUGCUAAAUUAAACUCAUUUUAAGAGGUUAAUUGCUUUGAUUUUGUUUCGGUACUGAUAAUAGUGAGAGUAAAAAAAUAAAUAGAACAGAUACAUUGAAUCUGCGAAAUUUUGCACCACAUUAAUGCCAAUGAUUCUCUUUUUAAAGUGCUCUCUCUCUCUCUCUCUCUCAUUUUGCACCGCAUAGAGUUGAUAUAUAUUCUCUUUGUGGUGUUAAUGGGGUAUCCCCUAGUCAUACGAACUAAUGGAACUAAUAAUAGUAAAAUGUUUCCUCGAUGGAUACGAUGACAUAAUGAUAAAUAAAAGUAAACAAUUAUUAUUAUUAUUAUUAUUUGUAACAAUAAUGGUAAUAAUAAUGACGAUGAUAAUAUUGGCGAAUGAAAUUAUUAUAGAAAUAAUAGUUGUCAUCAAUAGUUAAAAUGAAUUCAAUCUCAUCAAAUUCAAACUCUUAAUUUUUAAUUUUAAAUCCAAACUAAAUUUAUGCACUCUCAAAAGUAAAGAGGUUGUAGCCAAAUUGGCCUGCAUAAGUACUAAGAUUUGUGUGCCAAAAUCUCAUGUCGAUAUCACUCUGUUUGGCAUUAAAUUUGAAAUAAAACUUAAUAAAAUUUAGAUAAGAAAAUAUUCAAUUAAAUUCCUCAUAUGUCCAAUUAAACUAUACAUUUCAUGUAGGGGUGGCAAUCCAGCUCGCUGUUCGCAAGCUAAUUCGUGUUCGGCUCGAAAUGAGCUCGAGAUCGAAUCGAUUUGCUCGUUUACUAAAUGAGCCGAACACGAGCUGGAUUUUUCAGCUCGUUUAAUAAAUGAGCCGAACACGAGCUGGAGCCAGCUCACUCGUGUUCAGUUCGAUAACAGCUCGAAUACAUAUAUUUUAUAUUUAUAUAAUUUAUAUAAUUUAUAUUUUUAUAUAUAAAUAAAUAAUUAUAUAUAAUAUAUUUUUUAUUAUUUAAAUUUUAGCAAAAUAAAAAUAUAAAUACGAGCUUAAUUAUAAAAAGAAUUAUUUAUAUGUAAAGUUUCAACUAUUAGAUAAAAAUCUAAUGGAUAAGAUUUUAUAAAUUUAUUUUUUACAUAUAUUUAAUUUAAUUUUUUUUAAUUUAUUGUUCGUUGGCUAGCUUUAAUUAAUGAGCCAGCUCGUGUUCGAACGUGAGCCGACCCCAGCUCACUCGUGUUCGACGCGUUUACACCCCUAAUUUCACGUGAAAUGUACACGUAGCAAUAAUUUCUCAUUUAGAAUUAUAUAUUUGUAUUAUAAAUGAUCACGUCUCCAAACAAGAACUUAGGCCCACGCUAACUAUUACACGAUAAAUUAGCACAAUAUAGCUCCUUAUGUAUCACAUCAAAUAAGUAAAUAUUGAUUCUGCCUUCAUACAUAUCGGUCAAAUUAAGACUUCGUUUGGGAUUGCGGGAAAAUUACGUUUCAUGCAGUGAAAAGCGAUGAUAGAAAAAUAUCUUGUUUCCGUACGUAAUAUUGCGUUCCGUAUAUUACGGUUAGUCGGUUACGAUAUAUUUUUUACGGUCCCAUCGGAGAACGCAGAAGCACAUAGGAAUAUAUUUUUUCUCAACUCCAUUCUAUCUAAUAGCGUUAGAUCAACCUCAAUACCAAACUAAGCCUAAGUUUGGAUCUAAGAAGCGGAUUGAGUUUCUAUAUCUUUAUGAGUUCGAGUUUUGGGUUCCACCGCCGCGAUAUUUGAAUACCGAACAGGAUUUGGAUUCGGAUGGUAAUCCUAAUAACCUAUACAAGAUCUAGUUUUGGAUCCGACGAAUUCGGAUCCGAAUUCGAAUUGAAUCCGAAUCCGAUAGUGUCACGGGAUCAGCCACGUCGCGCUUGCAAAGAAAGCUAAAGCAACCGCGUGCAUUUCGUCUCCUUUAUUUUUUGUUGGGUUCACGUUCUCCCUCGCUUCACGUCUCGGACGUGAAGCGUUGAAUUUCCACCGCUUCUUUUCCGAGGACUUUUGCUUUGGUGCGUCCACGUGUACCCCGAGUGUCCAUCGUUCAUUGAUUACUAAAUUGGAUUGGUGAAAUUUUCUAACAAGCCCCCUUACUUAUCGACUAUUUGAUAGUUGUGAAAUGAAAAUUUAUGUCUAUGUCCAGAAAAAAUGCAAAUAUAAUUUGUGAUAAUUCAAAAUAAGUGUUUUCAUCACUACAUUAUCUUGUGGACUGUUUUUAAAGAAUAAGUAUUUUUAAAAAAAGAGACAUCGAUGCUGAUAUCAAUAUGAAAAACUAUAAUUAAGUUUUUAAUUAACUGCACUAAAUUACACUUUUGGUCCUCAAAAUUACGAGCCUCGUGACAGUUUGAUUCUUAAAUUUUAAUUCGUUUUAGUUUUUUGAAUCAAAAUUUAUAAAUUAUUGCAAUAAGUAUUAUAAUAAUUUACGUGAUUAAGUAUUAAUAUGUUGCUAACGUAGAAAUGAUAUAGCAGCAUUAUGAUUCAUAAUAAUGAUAGGAUAAUAAUUAAGUAAUCGCAUUACUUCGACAUCAGUAAAAUAUUAAUAUUUAGUCAAUUAAAUUGUAUUGUCAGUCUUAAUUGCAAUAAUUUAUAAAAAUUGAGCUAAAAAUUAUAGUAGAUUAAAAUUUACAGACCAAGAUGUCAUAUGUCUUAUAGUUUAAGGAUCAAACAUGUAAUUUAGCCUAAUAUUAACUGCGACCAAAUUGGAAUUAGGGGACACAGGGUGGUACAGUUGGUGUACUUACUCCCAUUAAUCCUAUUGAUAAAGACGCGUGAGAUCGUUUUCUUUAUAGUAAAAGUCUAAAAUAAAUUCAAUUUUUUUAAAAAAAUAAAAAUUAAUUUUUAAAAUAAAUAUAAAAAUUAAGGCGAAAUUAUAGCAAAUCUUUAUAUCAAUACCCGCUCUUUCACUUCUUCUCCUGUUAUUUAAAAACGUACACUUUACUUUUUUAAAAGAUAUAAAAUAUUCACUUUGAUUUUUACUGUCAGUGUUCGUUUAUAGUUUAUUUUUUAUAUCUAAAAUAUUUCUGAAAUCUUCCUUCUUUCUCAUUUUCGACCGCACCGCCUCAUCCGUCUAACUUUCUGUCCAUACCCACAGAUACGCCCUCGCUUGCCUCCGCCGCCUUGCUCUCGUCCUAGCCCACCUCUUCGUCCAUAUCUAUUCAGAAAAAGAUGAUAGGUAAUUUGUUCAAUUUAUCACAGUAUAUUUCUAUAAAUAUUUUUUUAUUUUUUUAAAGUAAAAUGUAAAUUUUUGAAAAAAAAAAUUAAUAAUACAGUCAUCAAGCUUUUUUCCCGGGCUUUUUUUGCAAAUAGCCCCCUGAGCAAUUUUUAUUUUAAAAAUAGUCAUAUCAAAAUUAAAAUUACAAAAAUGGCCCUAUUCCUGCCACGCAGGCGCCACGUCAGCGCCACGCGGACACGGUGAAUAGUUCACCGUGUUUAGUACGUAUUUUUUUCUAUAUUAAAAAGUGGAAUAAAGAAUUAGGAUGUCAAUAGGUAUGGAUAUCCGAAAUAUUAUCCGAAUACAAACCCGAAUAAAUUAUAUAUAAAUAUGUAAUUUAUUUUUGUUUAUUUAUACAAUAUAUAAAAUAUUUAAUAAUUUUUAGUCCUUAAAUCUUUAUCGAGCGGUAUAGAUUUUUAAAACCCGCUGGAUUGGAUGAAGAUAUAAGGAAUAAAAGUUAUUAAAUAUUUUAUAUAUUAUAUAAAUAAAUAAAAAUAAAUUAUGUAUAUAUAUAAUUUAUUCGGGUUUGGAUUCGGAUAAUAUUUCGGAUAUACAUACUUAUUGACAUCUCUAUUCCUUAUUCCUCUUUUCAAUAUAUAAAAAAUACAUACUAAAUACGGUGAAUCAUUCACCGUGUUUGAACACGGUGAAUAGUUUACUGUAUUCAACUUAACACACGAGUCCGAUCCUGCCCGCGUGGCGUUGACGUGGCGUCUACGUGACGGACUCAGAACCAUUUUUGUAAAUUAAAUUUUGACAGGACUAUUUUUAAAAUAAAAAUUUCUCAGGAUCUAAAUGCAAAAAAACCCCUUUUUUCCGUGUUUUUGCCCGGAUCUCACGCAACGGUCGUGGGCCCCAGCCCGGCACGUCUGUUGUUUGGCGCCCAUUUGCAAGUACCCGUUGCAAGGUGAGUCUCUGGCGCGGGCCCCACCGUUCUCGUUUCCCAUCCCCAACCUCGUUUCACGCGCUUUCGUAUCGCAUGAUAGCGUUUCCCCAUGGUCCGCAGGUUCGUUUGCCCGCACGGAGUGAGUUCGUUAUGAGGCGGUGGAGGCACCGACUCCACCCAAUCCUCUAUAACUCGGACGGUUUAAUUUUGUUUUUGCCCUCCACAUAAUAAUGCGGGAGCAGCAAAAUGCUAUUCAUAUAAUCUUAUUUGACACUUUAAUCAAGAGUUUAAAUGCCGUGAUAUACGGAAUCGUGUCAAAAAUUUAUCGACAUAGUACGGCAUGAUGCGUGCCGAGUCGUGCCGAUGCGUGCCGAUCAAAAAUAUUUUUAUGUACCUGACACAUAAUAGUAAUGAAUAUUUAUUUUCUUUCGCAACAAAAUAUUCUAACUAUUUAUUAUAUCUUUUUAUCACAUUUUUUGAACUUUAUCGAGAAAACUAUUUACUUAUUUAAAGAAUAGAGGGUUUUGAGCUGUGUCAUCGGUACGGGGUCUGUAUUGUGCCGAUAUUUUGUUGGCACGGUACGACACGGUAGAUACAGCCCGUGCCGAUGGGCACUUAAAACCAUGACUUUAAUAUACUAUGGUUUAGUUUAGUAUUGAGACCUAUCAAACGCUAUUAAAUAAAAUGAAGUUAAGAAAAAAUCAUAUAGGGUUAUAGGAAUAUGCUUCUUCGUUCUCCGGUGGGACCGCGCAGAAAAUAUAUCCUAACCAACUCAUUGUGAUAUGUGGAACACAAUAUUACGUACGGAAACAAACAAGAUAUUUUUCCAACGUACUUUUUUACCGCACAUAACGCAAUCUCCCCACAAUCCCAAACGAAACCUACAUAUAAUUAAAAAAAUUUAUCAGACCAUAUAUAAAAUGAUCAAUAAAAGAAAUUUCAUUCAUCGAAUCAAAUAGUUACAUAUAAUUUAUUAUUAUUAUUAUUAUUUCAAAUAAAAUUUAAUUAGAUUUUUAUUAAAUUUAGCGGUUAAAUUGGAUAAAAAUAGAUGCGGAUGAAAUUAGUUAAAUCAAUAUAAUAGAAUCAAUUAAAUAUCGAGAUGCAGUAUAAUAAGUAGAAUAUUCUAAUUUAGUUUAAUAUAUAAUAAUUAUACAGUUUAGUUUGUUAAUUUUUUAAAAAAUUGUAAAUAUAUUUAAAUAUAGAAAUAUAAUUGACGUAAUUUAAUAUCUGAUCUGAGAGUAAAUGAUACAUGGCUAGGAGCGUAGUAGAUGAUUUUUUUUCGUUUUACUAAAAAUGGAAUCAAACUCUAAAAAUUGAAAGGCGCGGGGUAACCUUACCGCGAAGUACCCUCACCUCCUCCGAACCCUCCUCUCUCUCUCUCUCUCUCUCUCUCUCUCUCUAACUCCCUAUAAAUUCUCGCCUAUUUUCAGCAAAUUUCCUUAAAAUAAUAAUGGAAAGGAAAACGAAGAAUUUGUAGCUAUUUUUAGCCGAUAUUCGUUUCCCCAUCGCAGCAGCAACUGCAACACCAACGAAGGAGCGCGAGAGAGGGAGAGAGAGAGAAAACCCUACCUCCCCCUCACCUCUCUCUGUUUCUCUCUUCUCCUCCGAUCCCAUGGGCAAGAUCCGAUCCCUCUUCCGUCGCCGCGCCAGCUCCAAGCCCUCUUCGCCGACGACGGCGUCGGCGUCGGCGGCGGCGGCGACGGCGAGUCCGACGUCGCCGAGAUCGCCCACGGCGACGGCGACGGCGACGGCGGCGGCGGCGGCGGCGGAGGAGGAGCUGGAGCGGGUGUUCAGGAAGUUCGACUCGAACGGCGAUGGGCGCAUCUCGCGGUCGGAGCUCGCGGCGAUCUUCGAGAGCCUGGGGCACCCGGCGACGGAGGAGGAACUGGAGCGGAUGAUGUCGGAGGCGGACGCGGACGGGGACGGGUUCAUCAGCCUCGCCGAGUUCGCGGAGCUCAACGCGAGCGCCGCGGGAGACGCCGCCGCCGUGGAGGAGGACCUGCGCCACGCCUUCUCCGUCUUCGACCUCGACCGCAACGGCUCCAUCUCCGCCGACGAGCUCGCCCGCGUCCUCCGCGGGCUCGGCGAGGCCGCGUCCGUCGCGCAGUGCCGCCGCAUGAUCGACGGGGUCGACCGCGACGGCGACGGCCUCGUCUCCUUCGAGGAGUUCAAGGUCAUGAUGGCCAACGGCUCCUCCUCCGCCGCCGCCGCCAUCGCCGGCCUCGCCAAGAUCGGGUGAUCCCCCUCUCCCGCAAACCCUAACCCUACCUGAAUCAUACACACACAUGAUCUCGAUCGCUACUCUGCGUUUCUUCUUCUCUUUUAUUCACCUUUUUUUUUGUUCCUUCUUCUUCGUCGUGAAAUUGUUGAUUUCGCAUCUGGAGAAUCGGACUUCGAUUAAUGGGAUUUGAGUAAAUUGUAGAUAAUUGGGGUUUUUUUUUUUUAAAAAAAAGAUCGAACAAUUUGCUAACUAUAGUUCUUAAUUCCAAGCAAUAUGAUGCUGCUGUGUACUGUGAUUCUUAAAUUUUCUCUCUCUGUUUUUCCUUUUGUUUUAUUCACAUUUGUUUCAAUUUCGUGAGAGUGAUGGGAUCUUGUCCUCUUUUUCGUUUGCGUUAAUUCUUGGACACGAGAGGAGGAAUCUCGGUCCUCGGAUGCUUCCUGCUUGGUGCAGGUAGCGGGAAUGCAACAUUCCGCGCGACCUGGGCACUUUCUCCAAAAGUGCUUUUGGGAAUAGAGUCGAUUAAAAAAAAAAACAUUAAAAUAUAGGGAGAUAGAUCCCCUCAACUAUAGAAUUAUUGUACUCUAAUGUUUUGUUUUUUUUGUUUAUUUGAAUUAUUUCAAUUGGCUAAGUUAAAAUUUUGUUGAGUUCGAGAAUUUUGUUUGCUAUUUAUUACUAGUUAUUAAUUAUUCUAAAUUUAAUAGCUGUAAAAAAUGAUUAAAUCAAUUGAAACUCUAUUUUUACCCAAUAGAUUUGAUGAAAUUAUCAGCAAAUUUGAUAUUUUUUAAAUAAAAAAUAUGAAGCAACUAUAGUGCGGAUUGAAAUCUCGAAUACAAGUUAUCAAACUCUUUACCAACUGCUCUAGAAACUGUCGAUAAGAUGGAGAGUUAUUAAUAAUAAACAAAAUAGAGUUAAGAGAGUUAUUUCCGAAUAACCCGUAGUUAAAAGAGUUUUUCGCACAUUUUUACCUAAAUUUUUAUGUACUCAAUUAUCUUUUUCUAUAACAACUCGUAGCAUUAACCAUUUUAGCGAAGUAUCGUAUGAGAUUAGUGUGGGAGAUUCUAAAUUCUUAAAAACAAGUUUAGAAGGUGGGGUUUGUUUAGGGAGGUGCAAUCAAAACAACUUUUAGUAUUGACAAAAUUAUAUUGUAUCUAAUCAUGAUUUAAACUUUCUUAUUUUGGUAACAGUAAAUUUUGCACUGUAUAUAUUAAUUCUCUUUCGCUUUUUUUUUUGUGUGGGGACUCUCCUUUUCUUGUGGUGUUAGUAAUGUUAUGUUCUUCCAUUAGUUGUAUUAUUUAUAUUGUCGGGAUUUUUUUCAAAAUGUUAAUUCGAUUUGUACCAAAUUAAUUAAUCAAAGAAAGGAAAGUUAGAUGAACAUUCCAACCAUAAAAGCAGUAUCAUUUGUUAAUUUACUUAGCUUGGUCACAAAGCACCAUUAAUUCCAGCUUAACCUGGCUGGUUUCAAGUGCUUAUUUAAACUCUUUUUUUUUUUUUUUUUUAAGUUGUUGUUGAUUAGAUCUCUUAUAAUCAAUAUAAUUUAAUGAAGGCUAAGCUAAAUUAUAGAAAAAUUCUUUGUAAAUAUUUCUUUUUUUCAUCCUGACUUUCAAAGAUAAACUUAUAUUUUAUUCUUUAAAAUUUUAGAAAAGAAUACAACAUUAAUGGUGAGGCAAGCAAAAUGGUAAAAUUAUAUUUACUUUUUCUAUAAAAAAAUAAAAUUUUAAUAUGUUUUUAUUUUUUUGAAGAUAUUUUCGAUGUAAAUCAUAAAUUAAAAAAUUAUAAAGAAAAAAAAUAAAAAAAUAAAAAAUUUCUAUAAUCUAGCUUUUAAUGAAAUGAUAUUUCAAAGAGACCAAUCAUGGGUUAAAUAGAUUCGAAUCGAUGUGAAACCUAUAAUCAUUUUAUACAGCAUUAUAUACUAUUCAAGGUGGAAUAUUCGCUGGCACUUAUCAGAAAUUAUGUGUUAAAAGCUGACAAACUGUCAUCCAACAUGGAUAACAGACUUGACUAAUGUCCUCCAACAUGGUUGUGACUGAACUUGAACACAAAAUACCAAAAAUGUGCAGAUCAGAUUAAAAAUAUCUGCGUUUGGUAUGCAGGAUAUUUUGGAACAACAUAGGAUAUUUUCGAAGUUGUAAUCAAACAGUAGAAGCACAGGAGGGAACAGAUUGUUCCGAUCAAAGCGGAUUGUUCUGGAUUAUUCUGGAACAAUCCGUUAAAAAUUAUUCCUAGAAAAACUGUGAACAACUUUAUUCUUCUCUUUAUUUUAUUAGAUAAAUAGAUAUAUAAAUAAAUAUAUUAAUAUAAAUAUUAUUUUUAUAAUAAUAUAUUUAUACUUAAAUUUUAUUAUAUAAUAUAAAUUAAUUAAAUUUGAUAUAUUAUUUAUUUUAUUAAGUUUUAUUAUUUAAAUAUUAAUAUUUAAUUAUUUUAUUUUAUAUUAAUUAUUAUAUAUAUAAUUAUUUUUUUAUGCAUUAUAUAUUUUUUUAAUUUAUAUUGAAAUUUAUACUAUUAUUAAUUAAAAUUAUAAGGAUAUCGUUACGUAUGUUAUGAAUUAAUUAUAUAAAAUAAAUUAUUAUUAUAUAUAGUAGAAUAAAUAUACUAUAAAUAUACUAUUUUAAAUUAAAUUGUUACAUAAAAUAUUAUAUUAUAAAUUACUAUAAAAAAUAAUUUUAUAUAAAAUAUACUAAUACAAAUUCAUUAUUUUACUUUUUAAAUUAUAUUUAGACAUUAUUCUACACUUUUUAUCCAAACGCUACUAAGAAUAUCCUCUAAAAUAUUUUCGAAUGCACCCAAAUAUAAAUUUACAAUUGUUCUAUCUUAUAUUGGAAUAUCCUCUGUUUCCGAGAACAACAAAAAUUGUUCUCCAAAAUUUAGUUCUCUAACCAAACGCAGCCGAAAAGGCCCAGCUCAAAACAUAACUAGAGCUAAAUGUAGUUAGUUUUGUGGCUGAGUAGUUUAAAUAAUAAGGAUUCAUUUGGUUCGCAUUAUAUAGUAUUACUGAUUAUCUUAACAUAACUAAUGAUUUUAUAUUUAUUGUUCAGAUUACUAUUGAUCUUUAUAUUAUUACUUGCAUCCAAUAAUUUGCAGCACUUUCUUUUUCUUUUAAAAAAAGUUUUUAAACUUGUUUUUCAUUUGAACUGAGCUCCUACGGAAGGAGCUACAGGUGGGUGCUGUGCAUCAGGCAUUCCGUUAUCAUAUUUUGUCUCAUUUCAACUUUCAAUUUAGAUAUUUCUCAAAAAAAAAGAGCACUUUCAAUUUAGAUCAUUAAAAGAGAAAAAUUCAAUUUUAAGAUGAUUUAAAUUAAAAGUGGAAAUAAGUUAGAUGAAUAAAAUUUUUAUAAAUAAUUCGGUAGUGCAUCCUUUGUUCCAACCAAAGCGCAAAGCCACUCUCGUUUCCUUGUAUUCUUUUUUAUGUGGACUAAAAUAUCCUAUCAAAAAGGAGGGAGUCUACUAUACACCACUACAUCACGUUAUUUAUAUUCAAUCAAUCACAUUUAUUUUUUUUAAAAUAUAUGAUAAAAAUAUUUUUUUCAAAAUCAUGAUUGGACAGGUGAAUUCCACAGAAGUAAUUUAAUUUUUUGGAGACACAAUAUCAGUAAUAUGAGUGCUGCAUCCUAGAUUUUUUUUUUCAUUAAAAAGGUUUUACUUUUCAUGGAAACUGACUACAAAAUAGGAAUGCAAAUGGAUCUGAGUUUAUAGAGCUUCUACUUUAAUUCACUCAGAAUAAAAAAAUAAUCAAGAGUUAGGGAAAAAGAAGAAAAAAAAAAAAAGCCUGCUCCGAAUGAGUCUUGAUUCGCGAAAUAGAACUGUUGGUGGAUCGAUCCCUUCCACCUCUCGAUUCGCUUCUCUCCUGAUAUAAAAAAAUUUACUAUUUUCUAACUUGUCUCUAUAAUAGGAUAAUAAGUCAGUGCGAAAAAUAAUAAUAAAAAUAAAUAAUCUGCCAUGAACCCACUCCUACCUGGUGAAAAAAAAUCCAAACAAAGGUAGGGGACUGUACCUAUGCCCGAUCAUCUGCCUUAUACAUAAAAAAUUUUAAAAUACAUCAGUUAUAUUAAUAACAGAGUAUUUUCAACUAGUCAAAUAAAUUAUUUUAAAUUAAUCUAGCAUAUCAUAAUUCAAAAAAAAUUAUUAUAUAUAUUUUUUAAAAAAUAUGAUUAAUCUAUUAUUGCUGCUUAUGAUGCAAAUAUGAUACAAUAGAUUAAGAUAUAAUAUCCACCGUUUCUAGAACAAAUGGCAAAAGGCUUGAUGAUUUGUACCCCGGAUUCAAGUUCAAAUUUCAAUUAAUUUAUAUUUUCAACUAAAUUUAUUUAUAAAUAAAAUAAAUAAAACGGAUAGCGUUUUACGUAUCUCUCGAAAAAAAAAACAAUAGCUGGUAAACUUUACCAGAUCAGAGAACCCCACUUUUUCCAAUUUUCCUCUUUUAACUCCAAGAGCGAGAGAGAGACAGAGAGAGAGAGAGAGAGAGAGAGAGAGGAGAGGAUUAUGGAUCUCUCGGGCUUAUCUUUCCAAAAAUUCGUCGACUUCGCUCUCGACCACACCAGACUCCGCACCACCCUCACCCCUCAUCUCCCCUCCCAGGUCACUCUCUUUCUCUCUCUUCUCAUAUGCUUCAAUCUCUUUAAACGCCUUUUUUUCAGGAGAAAUUUUGUAUAAUAAUUAUCUCAUUUAUCGCAUCACCUCUGUUUUCUAAAUUUUUUUUUUUUUUUUUUUUUUUUUUUUUUUUUUUUUUUUUUUUUUUUUUUUUUUUGUGUGUGUGUGUGUUUUGUUUUGCUUAGAAGUUCAAAUCCAUCAAGGCCAAAGACGGCAACAAGGCCGUUCUCACCGCGCUUUCAUUCCAGUCCCCCAAAAUUAGACUCCUCCGCAGUUUGGCGAUCGCAGAUGAUAAUGCGAUGCGGGUAAGCCUAAAACACCAUUUUUUUCCCCAUUUGAUCUGAAGAUUAGUCCUACAUGUAACCUAUAAUAUAAUAGGGCUAAACUCUUAACUGGGCUUAAAUAUUUUGGGCGGUGGUUAGACCCAAGAGGUUAAGAGAUGUAGUAGAACGAGAGUAGUCCUAGCAUGGGUGACCUCCUGAGAAGUCGGGGCAUUACAGUAAACCCACGAGAACUCUUCUAUUUAUUGAUGCUCUUAGCAUUCCCACUAUAUUUCAAAAUUGGUGGUGAUCUCGACAGGUUCUCGACUUCGGAGUAUUCCCUGAACCGGAGUACGAUCUGCCGAUAUUUUGCGCCAACUUUUUCGCCACCGCUAGUCGGAGUAUCGUGGUUUUGUAAGUUUCAUCACCUCAAUGAGCUGAUAUUUAUCAAUUUGAUGCCUCUUUAUCAAUAAAUUAAUGCUGCUAGAAGAUGAAUUAUUAUUCAGUGUGUUUUCUUUCUCUUGCUUAUUAGAAUCUUCAUAAAGUAGUUUAUUUGGGGGUUUGUAGGGACCUUAACCCCUUGUAUGAUGUCACUGUACAAAGGGAUUACAAGGAGAAGUACUUUAAGAAGUUAAUGCCCCUCGGCCAGAAGUACGCCGAGGUAUCAAAAUCCUUCUUUUGCUACCGAGCACGCGCUCGCUAUGUUCGUAGAGUGUUACUAUUUUUAGCUAGCUUCGUGUUUUUAAUAGAGAGAAUGCAGCUUUUCCCAUGGGGAGGCAAGAUUACGAGCGAGUCCAUGAAGUUUUUCUCGCCAAUCGUGAUUUGGACUACGUUCAGCACUAGCCGCGACAAGCAUGAUGACCUAUAUUCAGCUUUCGUGGACUACUAUAAGGUACAGACUCGGUUACUUAUAUUUAGCACCGGCGAAAGUUCGUUCAUUACUGGGUUAAAUAUCGCGCUCAAACUUCUCGCUCCAGCUGUUUGAAACCAGGCGAGAAAAACCUCGUUGAUCCUGGAUUUCAACCGACUUUGAAAAGAUUACAUACUAGUCGUCGCGGAGUUUUGUAUAGCUGAGGCAUGCCAUUUGCAACAUUGACCUUAGAAGCCCAUAGUAUCUGUUACCGAUCUUUGAGUAGAUAAAUUUUAACUUCGGAUGUAAGCAUUAUCUGAAGAAAAUGUUAUUGUGUAAUUUCAGAGAAUCUUGUUUGGAUUGAGUUUAAGUUCCUUGGAUUGGAUUUAUGUCUUUGUUUUUUCUCCUUUUCUUUUCUUGUUUUAUCUCUUGCUACGCUUUGAGUUCUUUUACCCAUGUUCUAUUGAAAAAUGUUCAGAUAACUGUGAACCGUAUAUCAUUUCAAAUAUUUCUGGGACUGUAAAUGUUUGAGUAUUGGUACCUACAUUUUUCAUUGUUUUUGACUGCAGUAUGUGUCUGAACUUGCACAGGCAUGGCUUGAGUUGAUGGAUGAAGCAGUGGAAGAAAAAGAUGUGCCUCAGAUACUCCAUAAUCGUGAAGCACAGCACAAGUAUCUCACAUGGAGAGCAGAAAAGGUUCUUUUAAUUGCCGCUUCAACCUUGAAACCCAUAAUAAUUUUAUAAUAAGUGUCAUUUGCUCCCAAAUCUGGGAAGCGGUUCUCAGAAGAUAAAAGUCGCUGAAACUUCAGAGCAUUCAGAAUACUAAAUAUUUCAUUUACUCAUGCUUUUGUGGACAAUUAUCGGUUUCAAGUCCCCUCUUUAUGUUCAUUUCAUGAUUUUCCUGAUAAUUCUGUUCUCAAUAAUUUCAAUCUCCAUCAUCAAAUUGGCUUAUUAAUUUGUGAAAUUAUUUAAACUCAAUUUGUCUUCAAUAAUGUGUUACCUGGCUAACAUUUAGCCAUACAACAGGAUCCUGGAUAUCCACUCCUAAAGAAGCUGGUCGGAGAGAGUCUUGCUAAGGUACCUUUAUCAAUAUAUAUAUAUAUAUAUAUAUAUAUAUAUAUAUACAUAGAGAGAGAGAGAGAGAGAGAGAGAGAGAGAGAGAGAGAGAGAGAGAAAUACCUUUGUCAAUGUUGUGAGGAAGAGCAUAGGGCCUGUGUCUCCUGGCAGAAGCUUUUGAAAAAGUGUCGUUCGAGUAGAGCUGCACAAAAGAGCUAAUAACUUUUUGACUUAUUAGAAAUGAAUUAAUAACUUUUUCACAAAAGAUCGAAGCCUAGUUAUUUUACAUUUCCAACUAAGUUCAUUUCUUAAGAAAAAUGGAGGAAGCGAGUAGUAUGCUAUUUUUCUCCAAAAAAAGAAAACAUUUUCAUUUAUAUCACCAAACAAUAUUCUAUUAUAUUAGCAGUGGAAAUUUCAAAUUAAACUUUUCGCUUUUGGGCAUGAUAACUCAUUUAGCUUUCCACGACCUUUUGUUUCCAAAGGGCUCAAGAAUAGAUAAGUUAUUCUAAAAGCUAGGCCAAACAGGUGCAUUACUUUAUAUCUUUGUUUGCUCGUCGUUGCUUUCAACCUGUUGGCUUAUUGUGAUUGUCGAUGCAUUAGGAUUUGGUGCGGAACUUCUUAUUCGAAGGAGUUGACACACUGGGCACCAACACAUUUUUGGAUUACUUUCCUGAAUAUAGAUGCGAAGACGGGGGCGUAAACCAAAAGCGGAGUAUGAUCGGAAAGUCCUACGAAACUCGGCCAUGGGAUGCUAAAGGAGAAUUCACAGGUGGGUGAACUCACUUUGCUGUAAAAUUUUGCUCUUCGCAGUUUUGUACUGAUAUUGUGAUGCUUUGUCCCCGAUUUUUCGUAGAAGUUCUGUAGAUUAAAAGUCUCCAUGUUCUUCAUGUAAAGCCAUCUUCCCAUCUUGGUACCUUUUUAAUCUCUUUCGGCCCCUUUAUUGUUGGUAAUGUUUGUGGAAAAUUGUUAGCUUAUAAAAGAUGAGACAAUUGUGUCAAAUAAUGUUUAGGAGGCAUGCUGUAUUCUCAGCUGAUGAUUUACAUCUAUUGAUCUUAAAUUAUCAUAGUAGGGGUCAGAAAAUCCUUUAUGUUGGAUCAAUUUAUGUCAACACUGCUUAAGUUUGAUUUAAAUUUAUUUGCAAUGGCAAAUUGGCAACUUCUUAUUGCAAAUAAAGAGAUUUACAUAUCUACAGAAAAAUCAUGUACCUCUUAUGAGAAGUAAAAGUCAGAAAAAUGGAAUUAUAGUAGUCAACCAUGAAGUUUGGUUCAUCCAGGGGUUCAAUAAUAAAUAGAUUAAAAAGUAAAAAUGGGUUAGUUGAAGUAACUGGAAAUUUUGCUCAACUAUGUGGAUGCUUUUGCUUUUGAAGGUUCUAGAACCAGAUAUGUAGGAAAAUUAGGGCUAUUGUGAUCUUGUGUGGAUGCACCACCUAACAAUUUUUAGUUCCAUGUGCAAGUAAGACAAAAUGGUCCAACAUAAAAGACAAACUAAUAGGAGAAAAGACACUCUAAGUUUCAUCAUACCAAACUGUACUCCCUAAUCCUUGAAUCCUUGGGAAAAAAAAAAAAUGAUUCAAUUAAUUGUUUUGUAAGAGUGAAAUCACUUCACUGAAGCUAUACCAAAUGUGUUACUCAAAACCAGAUGAAAUUUAAGAUCUGUUGCGCGAAGUUGGAGCUUAUACAAAAGUGUUAUCCUCUUUGACAAAAUACAUUUUAUGUAGUCGAUUUUACGUAAAUGUUUUAUGCUACUCAAUUGAAUUUCUUUUUUCUUUUUUUUUCUUACCAUAGUGAAAACUUUUUGGAGUUUUAGCUUGUUGAAUAUUUUACUGUUAUUUUCCAACUCUUAAGCAUAGUAAGAUUAUUAUGCUUUUAAUUUUUGAAUCUUUUCUUAGUAAAUGGGACCACAUUAUCACGUGGGUUAAGGAGGAUAUACUUAAGAAUACGACAACAAGAUUUGUAGAACAGAGUACCAUAAUUAAUAAAUAAAUAGCUGUUUAAGAAAAGCUUGAUUUAAAGCAAGGAAUAAUAAUAAUAAAAAAAUCGAACCAUAGCUUAUAACAAGUGAUUAUUGCAAGGUUCAAUGGAUCCAUAGAUUUUAUACUCAUCUAUUGAUGGACUAUCCCUUUUCUCUUUUGUGUUCUGAUUAAACUAGUCAAAAGCUUGGACAAAGGCAUGUUCUUCAUUGAUAAUACAUUUUUACUCCUUUUCUUUUUCCUACUUGCCAAAAUAUUUUAUUAGUUUGGGAACAUAGUAAGUAGUUCUAAAGGCAAUAAGGCAUUGAUCACACAUGGAGCUUUGUGCCAACUACAUUAAUUAAUUAAUUAAUGACUUGGGAUAGUUGGCACCAAAGUUCUUUCUCCUGCUCCACAUCUAAAUUCAGUUAAAAAAUUUAUUGAACUAGUGACCGUAUCCAGUGCAGUUGAUUAAAAAUAAAAAUAUGAUCACGCGAAUCAUUCAAAAUUAUUUUGUAAUAAAGCUCAUUAAAGCAAAUGAUUAAUCAUUAAUCAAGUAACUUGCUUAUUAUGAUUUCACUUUUAUUUCUUCUUUUAACAACACAAACUUUAGAAAGAACUUGCAGGAAAAAGGAGGAGAAAAGGCUAGUGGUUUGGCAUCACUGUAAAUUGAAAUGGCAUUUUGAAUCUCAAACAAAGAAACUCUAUUGCAAAAUGAAACUACAGUAGUACUUUUAGCACAGUGCUUCUCAUAUUAUUACUUAAUGAAAUUAUACUAAACAACACGAUCAGUACAUGUAAUCGUAUAGUUACAUUAAACAGGCUCUUCAAAUACUUGGUCCAAAUCGUAUAAUACACAAAGAUUCCGAGAGAAUAUUCCAGUUCCAAUACGUGGCAACAAAACACGCGACAACAGCAAUAACAUAGAACGAACCGUAUCCAGAUUCUAGUUUUUUUUUUUUUUUUUUUUUUUUUUUUUUUUUUUUUUUGAAGUGAACAAGUAAAAUUUCUCUUAGUUGUAGCGCAAAAUGUGUGGAUAGUGACUCAAUUAUUCUCCUAUCGCAUUUGGACCCAAAGUACUUUCCGGUCAUUAUUUUAAACUUGGGGACUACAUACAAUGUAUAACUUUUGCAGGCUCUGUGUAAAAUUAGAGAGACGUGUUUUACUUAUUUUUGGUCUAAGAGUUUAUUUGGUUUACCUAUUUUAAAUCGUAAAAUUAGAAUGAAAUUUAUUAAUUUCAAUAAUUAGUGUGCCGAAAUUGAAUUUUGAUUUUCAUUUUACUCUGAAAUGGAAAUGAUCAAAUCUAGUUAUAGUCCUACACAGGUUUAAAUUCUGAUUUCAAAAUUCUCUCUAACAAACAUCUCUAUUUGCUCUUCAUUUAUUACUUUCCUCUCCCUUAAUAAAAAUUUUUUAGAAAAAUUCUGGAUGUUCCAUUUAUUCAUUUUGAUUUUUAUUUUAAUAAUAAAUUAAAUAUUUUUUGAUAAUUCGUAAUUUUAUUUUUCAUUUUAAUACAAUUCAAUUUUAUCUUUCAUUCUUAUUUCAAUCAUGAACCAAAUAUGUCUCAAUUGUUUAUGGCUAGUUUAUACGGAGUGUAAUAUAAAGAUAUUGCGAGGACUAUUUAUACAUUAUCCCCCUAUGUUUAUGAUUUUGUAUUUUUGUAUUUGUUUAUUGCAGCAAACGGACAACGACUUUGGCGCGUUGAGCUACGAAUUUUUUGUUUUAUGUCGAUGUUAUUGGAUUUAAUAGAUUCCUUUUAUAAGAUUAAGUAACUUAAAUUACUGCUUUUUAAAAAAAUUUACUUUUUAUUUUCAAAUUAGAUAAAUGUAUUUGUGUGGACCCAGCAAUGAAUAUUAAAUCUUUUGUUACCAUUUGGAUCUGCACUUAUGAAAUUAUUUAAUGUAUAGUUAUAGUACCGAAUUUGUCAUCUGUACCAUUUGAAGCGUUAGUUCUAUAUUUUAGUUUAAAAAUAUUUACAUAAACUUACUGAUAAUAUGAUUUAUAAUAUUAAUAUGUACACAUAAUCGAUUGCUUGUUUAUUCUGAUCUGAUGCGGCGUGUAAAUGCAGGGAAAAUGUAAUCGCAAUAGAUUUUGAGUUUUGUUUAAUAUUGCGAGAAAUAUUGUCGGAUUUUCGGUUCUCCGUUUGUCGGUCUGAGCAAAUAUGAUUUUGAGUUUCAAAACCGAAUUGGUUCAAUUUGGAUUUCAGAUUUGAGUUUCAUCUAUUAUGUUUGAGCGAGUUCAAAAUAUUUUAAAAAUCAAACCUCAUUUGAAAAUACCAACAUAAUAACGUGAUAAGCACUCUACCAUACAGAACACCAUGUAGGUAUAUAUAACAAGUGCAAAUGAAAAAGAAAUUAUGAAAAUGUUCGUUAUUAUAUAUAAUAUCACAUUCCGCACAUCAUAAUUAAUCGAUUAUAAUAUAUAUUUUUUUUAUAAUUUUAUUGAAAAACAGAGAAGUGUAUUUUUACAUAUUUUUGCUCUAAUCUUAGUUUAUUUAUAUGUAUUAGAUUAAUCUCAAUAUCAAACGGAUACUUAGCUGGUAAGCAUAAUUUAAUGUCACUAUCUUUGUUCCCAAUACACCAAUUCGCGCAGACCACAGAUGUAAACAUCUGAUCUUGAUUGCUGUUCCUGCUAAGCUUUUAAUUAUUUACCCUAAACAUUGCUGUCGAAGUCACUGUGGCUUUAUCAAAUCAAUCGUGUCGGAAACUACAACGUGUUGAAUUUGAUUCAAAGUAAUCUACAAUGAACAAGACAAAUUAUAACUUAUUCAAUAUUAUCGCCAUCAAAUUAUUGAUAUAUAUAUCAAUAGUAAGAUACCAGAUGAGAUCAUUGAAAGAGGGUCUGAUCCCAACUACAUUGUAGAUAAAACAGUAGUUUAAUUUAAAGAGUUUUAUUCUUUUCGGUGGUUGUGGACAUUCUCUGUGCACUUAAAUUUUGUGAAUAAAUAUUUGAGUGUUAAUACAAUGUAAUUAAAAGCUAAGGAUGCACCACUUUGAUCUUGUGUGUAUAUUAUCGGAUAAUGUACCACGAGUAUAUAUAAAUAUAUUUAUAUACUAGACACAAUAGAGACUUGGGAAAUAGGUUUUUUAAGAACAAAAAAUAUUUGGAAAAGUUGACUCUUAAUGCGCGAAGAGUACAUUUUCGUGUUUUACAUGCGAAGGUGUGAUUACGGCGAAGACGUGCCAUGGUGAUCUUCUUAUCUCAUGAGACUUUAUCAAAUUUGGGUGUUUCACAUUUUUUGAAUAUGGAAACUAACUUUAUGUCCAAGCAUGAAUGUGCCCCACUUGUUGUGCUUCAUAUUCUACAAUAGCAAUUUUUUUUUUUUUAAAAAAAAAGGGACUUGUUGUGUUUGGUUUUGUAGCAUUUCUAGCGCAAUAAAUCUCCGUGUUAAUAAACCCUACUUAGAUCGACCAUUUCUAACACAAAUAACAAAGCGCUUAAUGCAUGGUUCUUUCAGAAUAAACCCUACUUGAGCUAGGAUUCAAUUUCUACCUAAUUUUUUUUAACCGUAUGAACAGUAUCCGAUCCGACCCCGAUCCGACCCUGAUCCGAAUAGGUAACGUCAUUUUUAUGGCUUAUAAGACAUUUAUUAGACAAUGAUGUGUGGGUAAGAUGGACUCUGGAAUUUUCCAGUAACGCGGAGAAUUUUUGACUCUUGCUCGAUGCAACAGCUGUGAGGAAUAUGACUCGUACGAUCGGGUCCAAAUUUGUUCACUCGAUUAUUGUUGUCUCUCCCUUUGGUGCACCCAACUUAAGUUGUUAGACCCAUAGCUCAUUUAUUAUUAAAUUAUUAUUUUUGUCCACAGAAUAAUUUUGGUCCACAAUUUUGGUACCCUUUAGAGCUGUAAAAAAGUAGGGGAUUUUUUGCUUUGGUGUUUAUUAUUAUUAUUAUUAUUAUUAUUAUUCGAAUAAAAUAUUGUAGGCACUUUGCUUUGUUACAGAAAAUUUGAAGCAAGCAUGGACUGGAUGAGAUUGCAGAAUAAAUUUUUAGCUAGAAAAUGUAUUUUAAUAUUAUAUAUAUCAUGCCAAUAUACUACUUUAGAAAGAUGUAACAUAUUUUUUAAUUAAAAAAUUUUCAAAAUUAUUUGUCAGGAGAGUUAAUUUCUAUGAAAAUAGAGACACAUUCUUUCGCAGCAAAGUAAAUGAAAUUGACUACUUUUGGAUGUUUCCUAUGUUAUCAUUUUAGAGAAACUACAUAUGAAAUUAACCCCUCUGUUACUCUCUCUCUCUAGAUCUCUCUCUCUUUUGUAGGGAGUUGUUUGGUGUUUGUGGUGUGGAAUCAUCAAGUAAGCAGGAACAUGCAUGGUCUCCUUUGUUUUUUUUUUUUGGUCUUUUGCUUUUGCUUAUUGUUAUUGGUCUUUGCUACUUGUCCCUUUCUAUGUCUUGUUGUUUUUUUUUUUUUUUUUUUUUUUUUUUUUUUUGAUUAUAUAAGGAUACAUCCAAUUUGAGCAGGAGAUACAAUAGAGAAAAACAAUAGGAGGGCAGAGAAGGACCAUGCAUAGCGAUGGGCCUUACCAUUCAAACUUAGGGGCAAAUACAGUGUAGUUGAAGAUAUAUGCAAUUGAAAAUAUAGUAAUUGUACUCACAUGCAUCAUGUUUGGUUGGAUGUAGUAGAAAGCGCUGCAGCUAUAAAUAGUUUGUUUGGUUACAUAUAAUUGAAAAAUAAUUUUUAGAAUUUUAUCAUUUCAUAUAUAUGAUCGUGUGAUUGUCUCCUAUACAAAAAAAAAGAAAAAUAUUUUUUAUUUAAAAAAUAAUUAAGGAGGUAAGUAUAUUUUUUGUUUAAAGUUAUUCUUUUCAACUGCUACAGUUGGAUCUCUUCCCGCAGUUCUUACUACAAGAGUUGGAGUUAAAUACACUAAGCCAAAUACCGAAUUUGUAUUUGUAUGUAGUUAUAACUACAUUACAAUUACAACUGCAUAUAACCAAACAGUCCGUAGUGAAACGACCAACUGUGAGUAUUCUAUUUCUAAAAGAAAUCCACAAUAAAAAUCUUGACAGCGAAGAGGUGCCUUUAGUUUUCAAAGAAAACAAGUCAUGCAGUACUUGACUCCCCCAAAAUUAGAAAGUUGUGGGCAAUUGCCAAUCACAAGUUCCCACUAACAUGCCAUCUCCAAAUGAAAUGAGCGAGUCAUAGGAAUCGGACAGGGAGGUGGUGGUUAAUAUAUACGAAGCACAACUCCCUUCUCAUGUUGUACAAAUUUUAAAUCAUGUACGUUAUUAUUCUCAGAAGAAAAUUUUCACCUAACACGUAACUACUGUUUUUUUUUUUAUUUUUUUUUGAGAGAGAGAGAGAGAUAUAGGUAGCAUGCUAUCUGUUUCGUUUAUUUUAUUUAAAAAUAAAUUUAGCUGGAAUGAAUUAGGAUUCGAAUUUAGGUCUCGGAUACCAACCACAAAGUCUUUUGCCAUUUACUCUAAGGACGAUCGGUAAUACACAACUAUUGUUAGAAAAAUAUUUAACUGUUUCACUUCGAGCGUACAUAGAAAAUUGUAACACGCGGUUUGGAGGGAGCAAAAAGGAGAGAAAACAAAAGAAAAAGAAAAAGAAAAAGAAAAAGAAUAUUUUUUCCCUCAUUUGGAUUGAAACUUGAGAAGAAAAAAAGAGAAAGAAAUGGAGAGAAAUGACGAACUAUGUUCUCAUUUUUUAUUUCCUUAGUCUAAACGACAUGAGAGAUAAUUAUUAUAUUAUACAUAUUCCUUUUCUUUUAUCUUCUUGUUCUCUCCAUCCAAAUAAAGCAUAUAAAUGAGUUUGACGAUUGAAAAAAAAAGAAAAAAAAAGAAAAAAAAAAAAGGGG